This 1895-nucleotide ribosomal RNA is filed under the name Escherichia coli. Its description in RNAcentral is "partial 23S ribosomal RNA". It matches the Rfam family "Bacterial large subunit ribosomal RNA", at positions 1051 to 2925 of the family's 2925-position model. RNAcentral also lists the same sequence under 1 other name. Lineage: Bacteria; Pseudomonadati; Pseudomonadota; Gammaproteobacteria; Enterobacterales; Enterobacteriaceae. The record is from RNAcentral.
AGUCAUGGUUAAGUGGGAAACGAUGUGGGAAGGCCCAGACAGCCAGGAUGUUGGCUUAGAAGCAGCCAUCAUUUAAAGAAAGCGUAAUAGCUCACUGGUCGAGUCGGCCUGCGCGGAAGAUGUAACGGGGCUAAACCAUGCACCGAAGCUGCGGCAGCGACGCUUAUGCGUUGUUGGGUAGGGGAGCGUUCUGUAAGCCUGUGAAGGUGUGCUGUGAGGUAUGCUGGAGGUAUCAGAAGUGCGAAUGCUGACAUAAGUAACGAUAAAGCGGGUGAAAAGCCCGCUCGCCGGAAGACCAAGGGUUCCUGUCCAACGUUAAUCGGGGCAGGGUGAGUCGACCCCUAAGGCGAGGCCGAAAGGCGUAGUCGAUGGGAAACAGGUUAAUAUUCCUGUACUUGGUGUUACUGCGAAGGGGGGACGGAGAAGGCUAUGUUGGCCGGGCGACGGUUGUCCCGGUUUAAGCGUGUAGGCUGGUUUUCCAGGCAAAUCCGGAAAAUCAAGGCCGAGGCGUGAUGACGAGGCACUACGGUGCUGAAGCAACAAAUGCCCUGCUUCCAGGAAAAGCCUCUAAGCAUCAGGUAACAUCAAAUCGUACCCCAAACCGACACAGGUGGUCAGGUAGAGAAUACCAAGGCGCUUGAGAGAACUCGGGUGAAGGAACUAGGCAAAAUGGUGCCGUAACUUCGGGAGAAGGCACGCUGAUACGUAGGUGAAGCGACUUGCUCGUGGAGCUGAAAUCAGUCGAAGAUACCAGCUGGCUGCAACUGUUUAUUAAAAACACAGCACUGUGCAAACACGAAAGUGGACGUAUACGGUGUGACGCCUGCCCGGUGCCGGAAGGUUAAUUGAUGGGGUUAGCGCAAGCGAAGCUCUUGAUCGAAGCCCCGGUAAACGGCGGCCGUAACUAUAACGGUCCUAAGGUAGCGAAAUUCCUUGUCGGGUAAGUUCCGACCUGCACGAAUGGCGUAAUGAUGGCCAGGCUGUCUCCACCCGAGACUCAGUGAAAUUGAACUCGCUGUGAAGAUGCAGUGUACCCGCGGCAAGACGGAAAGACCCCGUGAACCUUUACUAUAGCUUGACACUGAACAUUGAGCCUUGAUGUGUAGGAUAGGUGGGAGGCUUUGAAGUGUGGACGCCAGUCUGCAUGGAGCCGACCUUGAAAUACCACCCUUUAAUGUUUGAUGUUCUAACGUGGACCCGUGAUCCGGGUUGCGGACAGUGUCUGGUGGGUAGUUUGACUGGGGCGGUCUCCUCCUAAAGAGUAACGGAGGAGCACGAAGGUUGGCUAAUCCUGGUCGGACAUCAGGAGGUUAGUGCAAUGGCAUAAGCCAGCUUGACUGCGAGCGUGACGGCGCGAGCAGGUGCGAAAGCAGGUCAUAGUGAUCCGGUGGUUCUGAAUGGAAGGGCCAUCGCUCAACGGAUAAAAGGUACUCCGGGGAUAACAGGCUGAUACCGCCCAAGAGUUCAUAUCGACGGCGGUGUUUGGCACCUCGAUGUCGGCUCAUCACAUCCUGGGGCUGAAGUAGGUCCCAAGGGUAUGGCUGUUCGCCAUUUAAAGUGGUACGCGAGCUGGGUUUAGAACGUCGUGAGACAGUUCGGUCCCUAUCUGCCGUGGGCGCUGGAGAACUGAGGGGGGCUGCUCCUAGUACGAGAGGACCGGAGUGGACGCAUCACUGGUGUUCGGGUUGUCAUGCCAAUGGCACUGCCCGGUAGCUAAAUGCGGAAGAGAUAAGUGCUGAAAGCAUCUAAGCACGAAACUUGCCCCGAGAUGAGUUCUCCCUGACCCUUUAAGGGUCCUGAAGGAACGUUGAAGACGACGACGUUGAUAGGCCGGGUGUGUAAGCGCAGCGAUGCGUUGAGCUAACCGGUACUAAUGAACCGUGAGGCUUAACCUU